CCUACGGGAGGCUGCAGUUUCGAAUCAUUCACAAUGGGCGAAAGCCUGAUGGUGCGACGCCGCGUGAGGGAUGAAGGCCUUCGGGUUGUAAACCUCUGUCACUGGGGAAGAAACGCUUCAAGUUAAUAGCUUGAAGCCUGACUUAACCCAGAGAGGAAGCAGUGGCUAACUCUGUGCCAGCAGCCGCGGUAAUACAGAUACUGCAAGCGUUAUUGGGAUUCACUGGGCCGUGUGGGUGCGCAGUGAGCCCCCGGGGCUUAACCUCUGAAUUGCGCCUAAAACUACACGGCUAGAGCAUUGGAGAGGGUAGCGGAAUUCACGGUGUAGCAGUGAAAUGCGUAGAUAUCGUGAGGAACACCAGAGGCGAAGGCGGCUACCUGGACAAUUGCUGACGCUCAGGCACGAAAGCGUGGGGAGCAAAAGGGAUUAGAUACCCCAGUAGUC
Molecule: ribosomal RNA, 444 nt
Filed under: uncultured bacterium
Lineage: Bacteria
Description: partial 16S ribosomal RNA
Rfam family: Bacterial small subunit ribosomal RNA
Source: RNAcentral